RNAcentral lists this ribosomal RNA (910 nucleotides) under uncultured Acinetobacter sp. Its description in RNAcentral is "bacterial SSU rRNA". It matches the Rfam family "Bacterial small subunit ribosomal RNA". The record is from RNAcentral. Lineage: Bacteria; Pseudomonadati; Pseudomonadota; Gammaproteobacteria; Moraxellales; Moraxellaceae.
AUUGAACGCUGGCGGCAGGCUUAACACAUGCAAGUCGAGCGGGGAAGGGUAGCUUGCUACCUGACCUAGCGGCGGACGGGUGAGUAAUGCUUAGGAAUCUGCCUAUUAGUGGGGGACAACAUUCCGAAAGGAAUGCUAAUACCGCAUACGCCCUACGGGGGAAAGCAGGGGAUCUUCGGACCUUGCGCUAAUAGAUGAGCCUAAGUCAGAUUAGCUAGUUGGUGGGGUAAAGGCCUACCAAGACGACGAUCUGUAGCGGGUCUGAGAGGAUGAUCCGCCACACUGGGACUGAGACACGGCCCAGACUCCUACGGGAGGCAGCAGUGGGGAAUAUUGGACAAUGGGCGCAAGCCUGAUCCAGCCAUGCCGCGUGUGUGAAGAAGGCCUUUUGGUUGCAAAGCACUUUAAGCGAGGAGGAGGCUACUUGGAUUAAUACUCUAGGAUAGUGGACGUUACUCGCAGAAUAAGCACCGGCUAACUCUGUGCCAGCAGCCGCGGUAAUACAGAGGGUGCGAGCGUUAAUCGGAUUUACUGGGCGUAAAGCGUGCGUAGGCGGCUUUUUAAGUCGGAUGUGAAAUCCCUGAGCUUAACUUAGGAAUUGCAUUCGAUACUGGGAAGCUGGAGUAUGGGAGAGGAUGGUAGAAUUCCAGGUGUAGCGGUGAAAUGCGUAGAGAUCUGGAGGAAUACCGAUGGCGAAGGCAGCCAUCUGGCCUAAUACUGACGCUGAGGUACGAAAGCAUGGGGAGCAAACAGGAUAGAUACCCUAGUAGUCCAAGGGCGAAUUCCACAGUGGAUAUCAAGCUUAUCGAUACCGGUCGACCUCGAGGGGGGGCCCGGUACCCAGCUUUUGUUCCCUUUAGAGAACGGAUAAAUACACGCUUGGCGUAUCAUGGUCAUAGCUGUUUCCAGA